GAUGAAGAACGUAGCGAAAUGCGAUAAGUAAUGUGAAUUACAGAAUUCAGUGAAUCAUCGAAUCUUUGAACGCACAUUGCGCCCCCUGGUAUUCCGGGGGGCAUGCCUGUCCGAGCGUCAUUACAACCCUCAAGCUCAGCUUGGUGUUGGGCCCCGCCGCCCCGGCGGGCCCUAAAGUCAGUGGCGGUGCCGUCCGGCUCCGAGCGUAGUAAUUCUUCUCGCUCUGGAGGUCCGGUCGUGUGCUCGCCAGCAACCCCCAAUUUUUUUCAGGUUGACCUCGGAUCAGGUAGGGAUACCCGCUGAACUUAAGCAUAUCAAUAAGCGGAGGA
RNAcentral lists this unclassified non-coding RNA (329 nucleotides) under soil metagenome. RNAcentral's name for it is "partial contains 5.8S ribosomal RNA, internal transcribed spacer 2, and large subunit ribosomal RNA". The stretch from base 1 to 120 matches the Rfam family "5.8S ribosomal RNA", at positions 35 to 154 of the family's 154-position model. The record is from RNAcentral.